AUGACAGUCGAACGGAAAGGCCUCAGCUUGCUGGGGUACUCGAGUGGCGAACGGGUGAGUAACACGUGGGUGAUCUGCCCUGCACUUUGGGAUAAGCUUGGGAAACUGGGUCUAAUACCGAAUAUGACCACUUCUUGGAUGUUGUGGUGGAAAGCUUUUGCGGUGUGGGAUGAGCCUGCGGCCUAUCAGCUUGUUGGUGGGGUAAUGGCCUACCAAGGCGGCGACGGGUAUCCGGCCUGAGAGGGUGUACGGACACAUUGGGACUGAGAUACGGCCCAGACUCCUACGGGAGGCAGCAGUGGGGAAUAUUGCACAAUGGGCGCAAGCCUGAUGCAGCGACGCCGCGUGGGGGAUGAAGGCCUUCGGGUUGUAAACUCCUUUCGCUAUCGACGAAGCCACUUGUGGUGACGGUAGGUAGAUAAGAAGCACCGGCUAACUACGUGCCAGCAGCCGCGGUAAUACGUAGGGUGCAAGCGUUGUCCGGAAUUACUGGGCGUAAAGAGCUCGUAGGUGGUUUGUCGCGUCGUCUGUGAAAUCCCGGGGCUUAACUUCGGGCGUGCAGGCGAUACGGGCAUAACUUGAGUGCUGUAGGGGAGACUGGAAUUCCUGGUGUAGCGGUGAAAUGCGCAGAUAUCAGGAGGAACACCGAUGGCGAAGGCAGGUCUCUGGGCAGUAACUGACGCUGAGGAGCGAAAGCAUGGGUAGCGAACAGGAUUAGAUACCCUGGUAGUCCAUGCCGUAAACGGUGGGCGCUAGGUGUAGGAGGCUUCCACGUCUUCUGUGCCGUAGCUAACGCAUUAA
RNAcentral lists this ribosomal RNA (801 nucleotides) under Corynebacterium sp. YIM 101502. Its description in RNAcentral is "bacterial SSU rRNA". It matches the Rfam family "Bacterial small subunit ribosomal RNA", at positions 55 to 863 of the family's 1533-position model. The record is from RNAcentral. Lineage: Bacteria; Bacillati; Actinomycetota; Actinomycetes; Mycobacteriales; Corynebacteriaceae.